GACGAACGCUGGCGGCGUGCUUAACACAUGCAAGUCGAACGGUGAAGCGCCUUCCUUUUUGGUGGGUGUGGAUGAGUGGCGAACGGGUGAGUAACACGUGAGUAACCUGCCCCCUUCUUCUGGAUAACCGCAUGAAAGUGUGGCUAAUACGGGAUAUUCUGGGUCUGCCGCAUGAUGGGUCUGGGAAAGAUAUUGUUUCGGUGGGGGAUGGGCUCGCGGCCUAUCAGCUUGUUGGUGGGGUGAUGGCCUACCAAGGCGGUGACGGGUAGCCGGCCUGAGAGGGUGGACGGUCACACUGGGACUGAGACACGGCCCAGACUCCUACGGGAGGCAGCAGUGGGGAAUAUUGCACAAUGGGCGCAAGCCUGAUGCAGCGACGCCGCGUGAGGGAUGGAGGCCUUUGGGUUGUGAACCUCUUUCGCCAGUGAAGCAGGCCUGCCUCGUUUGUGGGUGGGUUGACGGUAGCUGGAUAAGAAGCGCCGGCUAACUACGUG
Molecule: ribosomal RNA, 494 nt
Filed under: uncultured bacterium
Lineage: Bacteria
Description: partial 16S ribosomal RNA
Rfam family: Bacterial small subunit ribosomal RNA
Source: RNAcentral